RNAcentral lists this non-coding RNA (99 nucleotides) under unclassified sequences. RNAcentral's name for it is "PhotoRC-II RNA". It matches the Rfam family "PhotoRC-II RNA". The record is from RNAcentral.
GAACGUUGUCUCACCCACGCCUCACCAAGACUAAACAGCGUGGUAAAAUAAUAGUCUUUCAUACCUACAUCGGAGGGUGAUGUAGGAAUAUCUUACUCG